Molecule: ribosomal RNA, 627 nt
Filed under: Flavobacterium sp. Se2Pt_1582
Lineage: Bacteria; Pseudomonadati; Bacteroidota; Flavobacteriia; Flavobacteriales; Flavobacteriaceae
Description: bacterial SSU rRNA
Rfam family: Bacterial small subunit ribosomal RNA
Source: RNAcentral
GCCAUGCCGCGUGCAGGAUGACGGUCCUAUGGAUUGUAAACUGCUUUUAUACGAGAAGAAACACUGCUUCGUGAAGCAGCUUGACGGUAUCGUAAGAAUAAGGAUCGGCUAACUCCGUGCCAGCAGCCGCGGUAAUACGGAGGAUCCAAGCGUUAUCCGGAAUCAUUGGGUUUAAAGGGUCCGUAGGCGGUUUAGUAAGUCAGUGGUGAAAGCCCAUCGCUCAACGGUGGAACGGCCAUUGAUACUGCUAAACUUGAAUUAUUAGGAAGUAACUAGAAUAUGUAGUGUAGCGGUGAAAUGCUUAGAGAUUACAUGGAAUACCAAUUGCGAAGGCAGGUUACUACUAAUGGAUUGACGCUGAUGGACGAAAGCGUGGGUAGCGAACAGGAUUAGAUACCCUGGUAGUCCACGCCGUAAACGAUGGAUACUAGCUGUUGGAAGCAAUUUCAGUGGCUAAGCGAAAGUGAUAAGUAUCCCACCUGGGGAGUACGUUCGCAAGAAUGAAACUCAAAGGAAUUGACGGGGGCCCGCACAAGCGGUGGAGCAUGUGGUUUAAUUCGAUGAUACGCGAGGAACCUUACCAAGGCUUAAAUGUAGAUUGACCGUUUUGGAAACAGAACUUUCGCA